AUGAGACGAAAAGACCAAACCAAACAGCCAAAAUAAAGAGGCCUGAAGCUAGUUCUGAGGUAGGUAUAAUGCAAUCAUGAGUACUAUGUAGAUUUUUCAUUUACUUAUUUUAUUUUUCUGUUCUAUGUGCAAUCUCUUUGAUGACAGAGCAAUAGUGAAUUUUCAUUUCACGCUCAUUAGCAAAGAUGACUCGAAUCAUAGGCUAAAACAAACUGACCUUGAGGCAGUACCGAGCGGAAACAUCCUGAUCAAACACCCCAAGUGCAACCACAGGAAGUGAUGAAAAGAAGACAUUAUAGAGAGACAACAACCAGUCAUUGUAUGCGGGUUGUCCAGAGAAUGAUGCAUACACCUCAUAUAAGAAUAGAGUGAAACCAAAUGUGAUAUUCUUGUAGAAAAAGUAGCAUAUCUGCCAAUGAAAAAGUUAAUAGAAUAUCAGAGCCUUCCAAUAUAUUCUACAACCUCUAUCUACAAUAUUUAGAAUAUAAAGCUAAG
RNAcentral lists this long non-coding RNA (495 nucleotides) under Phaseolus vulgaris (common bean). RNAcentral describes it as "long non-coding RNA (PVUL_LNC004257)". The record is from RNAcentral. Lineage: Eukaryota; Viridiplantae; Streptophyta; Magnoliopsida; Fabales; Fabaceae.